UACGUAGGUGGCAAGCGUUAUCCGGAUUUACUGGGUGUAAAGGGCGUGUAGGCGGGUCUGCAAGUCAGAUGUGAAAUCUCCGGGCUUAACUCGGAAGUGUCAUCUGAAACUACGGAUCUUGAGUACUGGAGAGGAUAGUGGAAUUCCUAGUGUAGCGGUAAAAUGCGUAGAUAUUAGGAGGAACACCAGUGGCGAAGGCGGCUAUCUGGACAGUAACUGACGCUGAGGCGCGAAAGCGUGGGGAGCAAACAGGAUUAGAUACCCCCGUAGU
Molecule: ribosomal RNA, 271 nt
Filed under: uncultured prokaryote
Description: partial 16S ribosomal RNA
Rfam family: Bacterial small subunit ribosomal RNA
Source: RNAcentral